CUCCCUCAAGGGGGCGAAGCGGGGGAGAGAAACUCAUGGUGACCUCUAGAAGAACGGGGCGCGCGGGCAUAACGGGGCGUCCCAAGAGGAUAUCGCCUCCGUGCCUUCGCGCUUGUCCCUCGGGGCGGUGGGGCGCCAGGAGCCCCCGGUCAGCCCCUGUGCGCGGUGCCGGCGCUGCUCGGGAGGGGGCCGGCGGGGGCGCGGAGGGCGGCGCCAUGUUGGCAGCGCGGCGGCAGGGCGAAGCGUCCGCGCCGGCGUCCGUCAGCACCGCGCUGCGCGUCCUCGUCGGCGCUUACUGAGAGGAGCUUUCCAAAAGAUAGAGAACAACUGCUAACAGUAGUUUUGUAGAAAAAGAAGAAAGCAAGAAAAGAGCGAAGGAUAGAGGAAAAAGAAGAACUCUUUCGAGUGUUUAGGGGUACUGGCUGAUACAAUGCCAGGAAAAAUGCUGCUAAUGAAGAAAUUUCUGUUCUGGAGCUUCACCUUCAAAGGGCAUCAUGUUUCUACAAUUUCUUCAAGGGCAGGAUUUGGAAAAUGCAUUCUCUUGACCAUUUGGUUCCCACUGGGAUUGCGUCUGUUCAGGACACACACGGGAGUGUAUAUGGCAAGUUUUUCCACAGAGAACCUCCAAGGGUCAGACGUUCAUUUGAUGAUGCUGUAGUCUGCAUUUCCAGUACUAUGGGCACAGAAGAAAGAUAAUCAUGUAUUUCAAGGUUGGCAACAGAAGAGGAAAAUAUCAGAAACAAUGCUGGAUUUCUACUAGUUAGAUGGUAUGUAACAGACAUUCACAAACAUUCACAUCCAAGUGACUUUAGCAUUUCUUCUCACCUUUGGCUUUCCUCAGUUGUUGCAAGGGAUCUCUUCUGGAAUUUCCAUUAUCCACUAAUCCUCUACACUUGGAUUGCCUGUCAGCUGCUGCUGCCUCCUUAAUACAUUUAAGAGAGAAGUUUGACAUUUGAACUAGUAGCUAUGGUUGCAGGCAAUCUGCUUUGUUCUUGGUCUAAAGGAGCCACAAAUUAAGACAGCUUUGCAGCAUCUGGAUAAGCAUUGUCUUUCCCUUAUAUGGAACAUUCAUCUUUACUGUGACCACAUUUACUGGCUGCUGAACACAUUGCGAAUUUGCAUGGAUCAGGUGAAAAUCUUUUGCCUUAUUUAUCUGUUCAAGGGAUAUUGUCUCACCCUUUGCACCCAUAUCUUAUCCCUACUGUAAUACUGGCUUGUGAUGAGCAUACAGACCCUUUACUUUUACACAAGUAUGUACACAAAAUGAUCUUUUGAAAUCAUUCAGGCAAUGGAUAUGUAUCAUGAAUACUAGGUCUGAGUGUUUCUAACUACUUAAGAUUUCUCUAAAUUUGAGUGCAGAGUGUGCAUCACUGAAAAAAACUAAAAGAGCAGUAAAAUAUUAUAUAAUACUGGUUUUAACUCCUUUCUUAUUAGUACCAAUUUAGGUACCUCGUUUUGAUCUUUCAUUGAAAUAAGCAUGGACACCAUAUGGUUUAGUGAGCAAAUAGUUUUGUUCCUUAACUGAACAUAGGACCUUAAAGAUUUUAUAGAGCUAAAAGCAAAAGAAGAAAGGAUAUUUCAUACAGUAUCAUAAGUUAAGAGAAUGAAACACUGGUUUAAGUGACAGGAAACAGAAAAGGGGAGCAAGCAUCUUUUAAGCAUGCUUAGAUAUUAAGGUGAUGUGAACUGUGCAAAAAUUUCAAAAAGUGUUCCUUCUGUCCACACACUUACCCUUGAAUUCCCAUGCCUAAUGCAUGGCUACUUUUAAAAUCUUGCUCCUCCUCUCCAGUCUUUGCUGAAAUCUUUCCAGUAUUAAUUUCUGCAAAUGUCCUGUCCUCAUCUGAAAUAUAAUCACACCCACCACAUAAACAGGAAUUAUAGCCAGUUGAAACCUCAGAAGUCAUGCUGUUAUGAGAGAUAGGUAACUUGGAAAUAAGAAACAAGUCACAAAUCACUGCUCUUUUUUUAUGCCAACAUCUUUCCAUGGAUCUUGAAUAAUUACACAACUGAUGGAAUUCAUUCUGCCUUUCUGCCUGGACAGGCAAAUUCUGCACCUAGCAGACUCCAAAGGUGUUUUUGUGCAUUCAAACUCUAGAGUCUGUGCAGUCCUCGGGGGAGAAUUUGAAUGCUAACAGACAUACAUUAAUGAAUUAGGUUGUAGCCAUCAGACUUCCAUUUCACUUUAAAAGCCUAAUUCUGUGUUUGUUUUUCCACUGACUGCUAUGGAAUUUUUGAGAGCAAUGAGAUGUAUUUCAAUUCCGUUUUUUUUCUUCUUGGCUUCAUGGUGACACCUUUUUAAUUCAUGCUAUUUUUCUACAUAUCUACAUCAAUAUCAUCAAAUACAUAAUUUGGUCUUUUGUGUUGGUCUGUGUUGGUAUGUUCAUUUCUGUCUUGGAUACCAAGUCAGGAGUUAGGUAAUCUGAUUUUUCGAGGAUCCUGUUCCUGUAAGCAAUGUGUAUAAUAUUCUCUGGCACAUUUUGACAAGGAAUGCAAAGUACAACAAGGAAUUUCUAAUAAAAUAACUUACUGCUUAAUAUUAAAAUUUACUCUGUAUGAGAUUUACAGAACUCCUAGGUAUACUCAAAUUUUCUUGAAUAAAUCGUUGAUAAAAUAAGUAAUCUCUUAUAUGAAAAAAUGCCUGAAUGUCGAGUGGGGAAACAGAAGCCUUAUUUCACUAGGGUGUAUCCAGAUUGGUCUAUAUCUUACACUUAAGUUUAUUAAGAAUUAUUCACAGAGUUACUGUUGUAUUUAAUGCUGAUAACAAGCUUAAUCCAGAAUGAAUUGAGAAAAUGCACUUAUAAUUUCCAUACCUACCUUAUUGUCCUUAAUUUGAAUUGCAACCAUUAGUUACGUCAUAUACAGUUUAAGAAUUGAAAUGAUACCACCAAAUCUUGUGGAAGAAUAUACAUCAAAAUAUGCCAUGAAUAUAAUUCAUUAGAUUUUACAGGACAGCAAGGGGUAUGUGUGAGUGUGUGUGCACAAUCUGCCAAAGCUAAAAAAACAACUGCUUGAUGAGUUUUUCUUCCUUUGUACCAGCCUACCCACUGAGCUGGUAAUUAUUCUUGCUUUUUAUCUAAUCAUUAAAAGAUAGAAAACAAUCUUUUUUCAGCUCUUCUCCCUCACAAAUCACAGAUAGGCCAUUAGAAAAUCUCUGUAUUCUGAAUCCAUUUUUAAUUUUUCCCUAUCCUUCACAAUUUAAAAUAUUUUAGACAAAUAAUUACUGCUACUGAAGAAAUAACACUAUUUUCAUGAGAUAGAUGGACUGAUCUGCUCUUUCAUGCUCUUAGACACAAGUCUGAAUCAAAAUCCAUGGAAGUUAAUAGAAGAAUCUUGUGUUUUGAAUCAAAGUGUGUCAGGAAGGUAUUAAUGAAUAAGUGGCUAAUCACUCAAUUCCCUCAAAUGGAACAAGUUCAUUAUACAAAUAACAUUGAAAGGGGUAAUGACAACUCAUUUUAGAUUCAUAACUGUGACAUUUAAUAAAAUAUGAUUUUACAAAUCACAAAGCUUGAAUUUCAAAAGAGCCUACCUGAGUUGGAAGACUAAAUCCCAUUGAAUUUCCAUUUAAAAAUAUAUUUCUAGAGUGCUUUGGUAUGGACAUUCUUUAUUUAUAAAUCAUCUUGAGUAUAUAAAAUUUGUGUAAAUAUAUACUGGAACAUGUAUACUUGAAUGGAAUGAAUGUAUUAUAAGCUCUUCAAAACAAAGACUGUUUCUUUUCUGUAUAGUUGUACAGGGCUCAAUAUUAUCAGGACCCUCAAGCUCAUUACACAAAAAUAGUAACAGUAGUACAGGAAUAAUAAUACUGUAUUC
This is a long non-coding RNA of Rhea pennata, 3807 nucleotides long. RefSeq lists it as uncharacterized. The transcript is spliced from 4 exons. The record is from RefSeq and is a predicted model, not a curated record. NCBI's taxonomy places the organism in Eukaryota, Metazoa, Chordata, Aves, Rheiformes, Rheidae.